RNAcentral lists this ribosomal RNA (354 nucleotides) under uncultured archaeon. Its description in RNAcentral is "bacterial SSU rRNA". It matches the Rfam family "Archaeal small subunit ribosomal RNA", at positions 510 to 864 of the family's 1478-position model. The record is from RNAcentral.
CUAAAACGUCCGUAGCCGGCUCUGUAGAUUUUCGGGUAAAUCUGUACGCUUAACUGACAGGCUGCCGGGAAUACUGCCAAACUAGGGAGUGGGAGAGGUAGACGGUACUCGGUAGGAAGUGGUAAAAUGCUUUGAUCCUGCGAGGACCCCCUGUGGCGAAGGCGGCCCACCAGAACGGAUCCGACGGUGAGGGACGAAAGCUGGGGGAGCAAACCGGAUUAGAUACCCGGGUAGUCCCAGCUGUAAACUAUGCAAAAUUUGUGAUGCAUUGUCUUGUGGCCAAUGCAGUGCUGCAGGGAAGCCGUUAAGUUUGCCGCCUGGGAAGUACGUACGCAAGUAUGAAACUUUAAGGAA